UAAACGCUGGCGGCGCACAUAAGACAUGCAAGUCGAACGGAAGUCGUUAUAAAAAGGAUUGAAGAUUUAUCUGAUUGAGAUUUUAUAACAAUGGCUUUAGUGGCGGACUGGUGAGUAACGCGUGAGCAACCUGCCUACUAGAGGGGAAUAACAGUGAGAAAUCAUUGCUAAUACCGCAUAUGCCAUGAACAUCACAUGAUGAAAAUGGGAAAAGAGUAAUCUACUAGUAGAUGGGGAUGCGUCUGAUUAGCUUGUUGGCGGGGUAACGGCCCACCAAGGCGACGAUCAGUAGGGGUUCUGAGAGGAAGGUCCCCCACAUUGGAACUGAGACACGGCCCAGACUCCUACGGGAGGCAGCAGUGGGGGAUAUUGCACAAUGGAGGAAACUCUGAUGCAGCAACGCCGCGUGAGGGAAGAAGGUCUUCGGAUUGUAAACCUUUGUUUUUGGUGACGAACAAAUGACGGUAGCCAAAGAGGAAGCCACGGCUAACUACGUG
This 497-nucleotide ribosomal RNA is filed under the name uncultured bacterium. RNAcentral describes it as "bacterial SSU rRNA". It matches the Rfam family "Bacterial small subunit ribosomal RNA", at positions 30 to 507 of the family's 1533-position model. The record is from RNAcentral.